Molecule: ribosomal RNA, 325 nt
Filed under: uncultured bacterium
Lineage: Bacteria
Description: bacterial SSU rRNA
Rfam family: Bacterial small subunit ribosomal RNA
Source: RNAcentral
GAUGAACGCUGGCGGCGUGCCUAACACAUGCAAGUCGAACGGGAAUAUCCUGCGGGCGAGAUUUCGGUCAAGCCGGGGAUGUUUUAGUGGCGGACGGGGGAGUAACGCGUGGAUAACCUGCCUUACACUGGGGGAUAACACUUAGAAAUAGGUGCUAAUACCGCAUAAGCACACAGCCCCGCAUGGGGGAGUGUGAAAAACUCCGGUGGUGUAAGAUGGAUCCGCGUCUGAUUAGCUAGUUGGCAGGGUAACGGCCUACCAAGGCAGCGAUCAGUAGCCGGCCUGAGAGGGUGGACGGCCACAUUGGGACUGAGACACGGCCCAG